Molecule: long non-coding RNA, 426 nt
Filed under: Helianthus annuus (common sunflower)
Lineage: Eukaryota; Viridiplantae; Streptophyta; Magnoliopsida; Asterales; Asteraceae
Description: sRNA HanXRQr2_Chr09g0390851
Source: RNAcentral
UUUUUUUGUGCAGAAAGAGUAUGUGACUUCCAAGGUCCCUUUGGCUAUUCAUCCACUAUGGCGUGUCUUCUUAGGCGUAUGGGUGUCGAAAACAUUCUUCUACAGAGAUCUCAUUAUGAUUAAAAGGGAAUUAGCUUUACAUUGAAACUUUCAAUACGUAUGGAGAAGGGAAAGAGGAUACUUUAGAGGGUUCAUGUAUGAUGUUCUUCGGUUUGAUUUAUGAUGAUCAUAUGAUUAAGUGGACCUUAGGUACACUUGGAGCUUGCACCAGAGGAGAAGCGGGUCGUUGUGGACAAGAAUAUGUGAAUGCUUAUUAAACGUUUUUACAUUCACACAAUGAUACUUAUGUUUUGGGUUUUACAUUUAAUGCUUCCGCUACAUAUACAACGUUUGGUUUUGAACAUCGGUCGUAUCUACUAUUAUAUU